This 468-nucleotide ribosomal RNA is filed under the name uncultured bacterium. Its description in RNAcentral is "partial 16S ribosomal RNA". It matches the Rfam family "Bacterial small subunit ribosomal RNA", at positions 28 to 507 of the family's 1533-position model. The record is from RNAcentral.
GACGAACGCUGGCGGCGUGCUUAACACAUGCAAGUCGAACGGAAAGGCCCUGCUUUUGUGGGGUGCUCGAGUGGCGAACGGGUGAGUAACACGUGAGUAACCUGCCCUUGACUUUGGGAUAACUUCAGGAAACUGGGGCUAAUACCGGAUAGGAGCUCCUGCUGCAUGGUGGGGGUUGGAAAGUUUCGGCGGUUGGGGAUGGACUCGCGGCUUAUCAGCUUGUUGGUGGGGUAGUGGCUUACCAAGGCUUUGACGGGUAGCCUGCCUGGGAGGGUGACCGGCCACAUUGGGACUGAGAUACGGACCAGAAUCCUACGGGAGGCAGCAGUGGGGAAUAUUGCACAAUGGGCGGAAGCCUGAUGCAGCAACGCCGCGUGCGGGAUGACGGCCUUCGGGUUGUAAACCGCUUUCGCCUGUGACGAAGCGUGAGUGACGGUAAUGGGUAAAGAAGCACCGGCUAACUACGUG